Long non-coding RNA from Lolium perenne, 1403 nucleotides. RefSeq lists it as uncharacterized. Lineage: Eukaryota; Viridiplantae; Streptophyta; Magnoliopsida; Poales; Poaceae. The record is from RefSeq and is a predicted model, not a curated record.
UCUGAUGUCACUGCUUUCUUCCUCACGUCUCCUCACCCUAUCCCUUUCCCAAUUCGUUCUCCUACCAGCGCCGCCUCCUCACUCAGCCGCCAUGGCCAUGCCUCGCUGCCUCCUCUCCCAGACUCCCACACCUCCCGUCCUCGGCCGGCGCUCUCACAGCUGCCCACCCUCCGGCGCCGAGCCAACCCGCCUCCCUCCAGCGCUAUAACGGCCACCCGCCCACCGGCGCAUGGUUCCGGCUGCCGGCCGCCCCUCCCACCGGCGUCGGGCCACCCCUCCAUCGGCCAGAUCUCACGGCCGCCCCUCCCUCCGGCGCUGAGCCAACCUACCAUCGGGCGCAAGGCUCCGGCUGCAGGCCGUCCCGCCUCCGGCUCCAGGCCGUCCCGCCUCCGGCACCAAGCCACAUCGCCAUUGGCCGCAGGCGACCCCUACUCCGCCGCGUCCGCGGAAGCUGCGCUCGGGCUCCUGCCGUGCGCCUGGACCCACCCGCUUCCCUGGCUUCGCUCAUCCUCACCUCCCGCUAGGCAAUGGCGGGCGUCGGCGUUCCUUCAAAAGAGCUGCUCCCGCUCGUCUUGCAGGAGGAUGGGGACAUUCUCAGCAACCACUGUCGACAUGGGCACACCAGCUUAUCAUUGACAAUGUUCAACACCAUUUAACAAGGAAAUGACUUCUUCCACUGUUCUAUUGGUAUUACUUCCACAAUAGCCUACUUAUGCACCCAGGACGUGUAACUGCUAACAGGGCUACUUCUGCAGUUCUAUUUUCUCCCUCAACGUGCUGCUCAUCAUGAUCGAUUCUACCCAAAGAGGAUCCGUGAAAGUUCUUUUAAGAGGAACCUGGCUAGUGAAGACGGCAGGCUUGGCGACGAAGGUCUUUUUACUCGAUGGUGACUUUGGUCAGCGAGAUGAAGAAGACGGCUGACAGCGACUUUGGUCAGCGCGAUGAAGACGACGGUCAGCAGCGACCCUGGUUUUGGUCAGCGAGAUGAAGAAGACGGCUGACAGCGACUUUGGUCAGCGCGAUGAAGACGACGGUCAGCAGCGACCCUGGCUGACAGCGACUUUGGUCAGCGCGAUGAAGACGACGGUCAGCAGCGACCCUGGUUGUGGUCAGCGUGAUGAAGACGACAGUGCCAUUUCAAAUUUGGAUGGCGUGUUAGUUGAGAAAUAGUAGGUGUUUGUUGUGCCAUUUGAAAUUUUGAAAAACUACGCCUAAUGGUGUGGAGUUGUUUGUUAUCCACGGGCUGGUAUUUCUCCUCUUAGGAUAAAGACGUGUUAGUUGAGAAAUAGUAGGUGUUUGUUGUGCCAUUUGAAAUUUUGAACAGCUACGCCUAAUGGUGUGGAGUUGUUUGUUAUCCACGCCUAAUAGUAGAGAUUAGCAAGCGUGGAUGGGUUCUUUUGUUA